This 3032-nucleotide long non-coding RNA is filed under the name Daucus carota (carrot). Its description in RNAcentral is "long non-coding RNA (DCAR_LNC003913)". Lineage: Eukaryota; Viridiplantae; Streptophyta; Magnoliopsida; Apiales; Apiaceae. The record is from RNAcentral.
ACGGUACUUCAGUUGUCGACGCAAACGGAGUUAACUAAUAUCGAAUAACGUAUAAAAUCCGUAAUUAGCUACCCUUCGUAAAUCCAUAUACAUAUUAUAUAGUCAGAUAAACACAUAGCACACAGUUGGACAAUAAACUUUUAUAACUAUUAAAAGUCAAUAUUGAUAAGUUAACAUAUAACAUGUUUUAGUCAACCGUGUCACCUUAUUCUUAUCUAUUUAAUUUCCUUUAACUAGUAAAACAUAUAUAGUUUCUAACAAAAAUUCGACAGCACCUCCUCUAUUUAUCGGACUAUCCACCUGUUUCCUUAUCCUAUUCAACAAAUAACCAACUCAAUCCAACUCAAUAAACCAACAAGUACUGAACCAAUAUCAAUUAAAACACAAUCACGCCUCAACAAUCCACAUCUCAUCUUUAUACUAUAAGAAAUAAAGAUUUCAGGUAUUUAUAUGCAUAUAAUCCCAAAAUCUAAAGUCCUUAAUCCUUGUAUAAUCAUACCUCAUUCAUUCUCAAUCAUUCUCAUACUAUAAGAAAUAUAAUUUUAAUUAUAUAAAUACAUAUACCCGAGAAGUCAAGGCAUAUAUACAUAUUUAUAUAAUCAAAACUUAUCUUUCCUAAUCCUCGUAUGAUCAUCAUGAUUAUUUAUAACCAAUGGAAUAACAUCAACCAUUCCUCGCUGACUGAAUUUAAAUAAUUAGCACACUCUGAAAUCAUAUGAUGAAUCAGAAGUCAAUAGGGAUGGCAGAAAAAACCGAUUCGAAUGGAUACCCGACCGUUUCGACCCGAAUGGAUCUUACCGAACCCGAUAUUUUGGAUUUGGAUUUGGAUUUGGAUUUGAUUUUUAGACCCGAACGAGUUUGGAUUUGGAUUUGGAUACUAGGUAUUCCGUAUCGAAACCCGACCCGAAAUCCGAAUCCGAUCCAAACCCGAUCCAAACCCGAAACCCGAAAAAAAAUCCAAAUAUGUAUAUGUAUAUGUAUAUGUAUAUGUAUACUAAUAUACUUUUUUUCAAUUUUAAAUCUACUAAAUGUUGUUUAUAUAUACAUACGUAGAGUGUGAAUGUGUAUAUUCUUGGGUUAUAAUGACUUUUUUUGUUUAACUAAUGAAUUACUUUAAAAUUUCAUACUUCAUAUAGUGAAGAUUUGUGUUUAGAAAUUAUUAAAUACGUUUCAAGAUUUUAUUAAUGUGUAAUACUUUAUUAUUAAAGUAGUUUAGUUUUAUAUAUAAUGAAAUUUAAGGGCGAAAAAAUCAAAAAUAAUAUUUCUACAAUACUAUAUAAAUUUCGGAAUUCAGGUUUUGGAUAAACCCGAACAAACCCGAACCCGAUCCGAAACCCGUGGAUUUGGAUUUGGAUUUGAUAUCUGAAACCCGAUUGGAUUUGGAUUUGGAUUUGGAUUUUAAAAAUAAUUUGGAUUUGGAUUUGGAUAUCUCAAAUAUCCGAACCGAUCCAACCCGUUGCCAUCCCUAGAAGUCAAUAAUUCAACUUUUUAACAAAAUAUUUCUCAGAGAUCUUUAUAAAUCUUACACAUAGAGAUCAUCACUAUUUCAACCCAAACUCAUAGAUUUAAACUAGCAAAAACAAUUCUCUUUGUGACAUCAAAACCGAAUUUUCACAAGUUUGCGCUAUCGACAUUCAAACAUUUUUAAGAAAUCAAAAAUACAAGUUUUUCACUUGAAAUUUUUAUGAGACCUCCCUUAACUCCCUGACUAGCUACAAAAUAAGUUUUGGCUUAAAAAUCAAAGUUUAAGUAAUUAAACUAUAGUUUAGAAAGUAGAAAAGUGAAGCAGUUUUGUACUCUGCGCAUGCCAUACUAAAACUGUCAUAUCUCCUAACUCGCUAAUCGAAUCGAUUCGAUUCUUUCGCGCACAUAAAGUAGACUCUGAGAAGAUCAUAAAUCUCUGAAAGUCUCAUUUUAAAAAUGAUCUUAAGCUGUUCGAAAAAGAGCUCCAAACAGAGGCAGAGUUGCUGCGAAAACUCAACGAAAAGUGACUCAAAAAUUUAUAAACAAUUUGUACCAACCAUAACCCUUACAAAUUUAUUCAAUUCAAUACAACAAACACAUUACAUAAAGUUUUCUUCCCAACAAAUGCCCCGAAUCUAUCUCCAAUUAAACUCCCUAAUUCAUAUGAACACACUCUGUUCUAAAAGUCGGUGAUUAAUCACGAUUAGUCACCGAUUAAUCCCUGUUCCGUAGCUCGCCGAACUGAUUAAAUCUCCAAUUAAUUAAUGAUUAAUCCGAGUAAUCCCCGAUCAAUUCAAUUAAUCACCGAUUAAUACCUGUUCCGUGACUUCACCGAUUAAGUCUGAUUCCCGUUUUUUACAACACUGUGAACACAUAUACAACAAUUAACUCCCAAUCGAGUAAACAUUACCCCAAUUAGCCUCUAAUCACGUAGUUAAUUAAAUUAAACUUUAAUAACCAAAGCAAUUCUUAACUAAUGCAAGACAAGUAUAUAUACACCCACAUAUAUAUAUAUACAUACAUAGAUAUAGCUGAUUUGGUCUCAAAUUGGCUAACUUAAUCAAUUCAAAUCGUAGUGAAUACAACACAACAUAUAUACACAUACAUAUAUAAACUGAUUUUAUAAAGAAGAAUGGAUUCAUACCCACUGAUUACAAUAGCAGGUGAGAGGGGAGGUGAAUUCGCCGGGAAGAGCAAGAAGAACAGGCGGCAGCGACAAUUUCAGCGGAGCUCAACAGUGGCACAGCGGAGAUGAAGACACAGCAACAUCGGACUCGAACAAAAGAGGGAAGUGAUGUUGUGAAAGAAAAACGAGGUGAUGAUCGGAGUUGUGGGGAGAUGAUAACUGGAGGCUAAGGGAUGAUGAGGGGUGAGGCGGUGAAGUUGUAAUCGGAGAGCGUGCAGAACGAAUUUGAAGCAGAGUGAAUAGGUGUAUACAGUGACUUGGGUACGUAUGUGACUUGGGUGCAGUUUGUGCAUAGUUGCGAAUGUAGUUGCUCAUUCGUUAGCUAGGGCGUCUCAUUCCGAGUCAGGCCUGCAGGAGUGGAUAGAUGUCGCUCCUGAUUUCC